AAUAAAAGUAUCCGGUUAUAAUAUUCCUGACAUCUCUAUAGAUUUUUCAGAAUUAAAAAAAAGGUACAAAAUAAACGACUAUCUUCUUGCUAACGUUGCUGAAUUUGGAUUUCCUAUGCCCACACCGAUUCAGAUGCAGGCCAUUCCUUUACUUCUGGAGAAUCGCGAAGUCGUUGCCUGCGCACCAACUGGAUCAGGAAAAACACUGGCCUUUGUUUUACCUCUUUUUGCUUUAUUAC
Molecule: long non-coding RNA, 239 nt
Organism: Zophobas morio
Lineage: Eukaryota; Metazoa; Arthropoda; Insecta; Coleoptera; Tenebrionidae
Exons: 3
Source: RefSeq, a predicted model, not a curated record